Molecule: long non-coding RNA, 677 nt
Filed under: Triticum aestivum (bread wheat)
Lineage: Eukaryota; Viridiplantae; Streptophyta; Magnoliopsida; Poales; Poaceae
Description: long non-coding RNA (TAES_LNC004198)
Source: RNAcentral
UUAUCGUGAGGGGGGAAGCGGCCGCAGAUUAAGGACAGCGCGGGUUAAGAGCAUGGUCAUAGUCUAGGAGCACGCCCGGUGGUCGGUGCGUAUGUUGUCUCCAUGCCAAAAAUAGCCACUUGAUUAUUUUAACAAAUCCCUCUUCUGCCUCUUAGUCAUGCUCAAAUCUGAGCUACCAUGUGUCUACUGAGCUUAAAAUUACCCACAACCCACAAUAGAAGGCAAGUAGGAUUUGACAGUGUAUGACAUGGUAAUCUAGCUUUAUAAAAUCCAAAUUGAUCAGGAUAUGCACAUAGAUGUUUACAUAUUUGCAUCCGUAGUGUCACUUAUAGGAUUGUAAUUAAUAGCAACCAUGGAGAGAGUCGGUUCAUUUUAUUAUGAGCACGUCUCUUCUUCUGCAUCCUGAAGAUCUGCUAAAAUAUGAAGUGAAUUUCCUGUUUUAUCUCACAUUUACCAAUUACACAUUGAAAUAUUUUGUUUUUCAAGAGAGUUUGAUUUGUACUUUGAAAGUUUUGGAAUUGGAGACAUCACCCUUCUUGUCCGCUGCCCAACUCCGUCGCGGCCCAGGCCUAGCAGGAGAUAGAGGCACCGCGAGGACUCACUGCAAAGAAGCCAUGGGAGGAGGACCCCGACUCGGAUGACGGCUGCUGAAAGAUCAUGCACUUCUUCGGCCCACA